Molecule: long non-coding RNA, 2856 nt
Organism: Neoarius graeffei (lesser salmon catfish)
Lineage: Eukaryota; Metazoa; Chordata; Actinopteri; Siluriformes; Ariidae
Exons: 5
Source: RefSeq, a predicted model, not a curated record
GUGGAGAGGAGACAAUAAGAGAAGAGGAAGUGGUGCCAGCACAGAGAAAUACCUUGAUGAAAGUCUUCCUUUUAAGCUUCAGUGAGUUGAGUCAAGUCAUCCUCAAGGUUUGAAGAAACUGGACACCUGCCUUCAGUGGAGAGGAGACAAUAAGAGAAGAGGAAGUGGUUUUUCUGGAUGAACUCAAUAACUAUGUUCACGUCUACACAACACAACAAUAAAAAUAUUGAAAAGAAGAAUAUAAUUAUGCAGGAAUCUUUUGAUAGACUAGAAUCAACAAACGGUCCUAUAGCUUACCAAAAUGGAAAUGAAAUUCAAGAAUAUGAUACCAUCAUGAAUUUAGUGAUUCCAAAAGAAAUACCAUGCACAAUAGAAAUUAGAAAUUAUACCAAAAAUAAGAUAAUAAAUGGACUUGGUGUUUAUUAUGGUUGCGGUCAUGUUUUGACUGCUUUCCAUGUUAUUAAGGGUACACAUCGUGAGCAGUAUAAAAUAUUGGUUACUUUCAGGAUUGAAGAUAUUGUGCUGGUCUAUAAGGCUGUCAUUACAGAAUUUUGUAACUUUGACAAAUCUAGAGAUCAAGCUUUUAUUAAAUUACUUGGCAAUACACAUCCACUUGGUGAUGGUCUACAAAAUCAGAUGGAUAACCCCGAUAAAAUUGAAAGUAUAUAUUUUUACACUUUAGUCAAUGGGAAUUUUCAGAAGAAGGAGGGUAAAUUAAUUCGUCCAAAUUCAAGCAUGAAGGCACAAAUGCUUCCUUCUGAGUUUGUAAUAUCUGUAGCAGGUAAACAUGGAGACAGUGGCUCACCUGUUUACAAUGAAAAAGAUAAACUGAUUGGAAUAUAUAGAGGUGACUUUACAUGCACGACGACCUCUGAUAAAUAUGGCCGCUAUACUGAAAUCUCUCCAAAGUUUAUACCCUGGAUGAAUAAACGUACUGAAAGUAAGAUUUGGAGUUUUUUAGGAAAGUUCCUAGUUUUUUUUAUAGAAAAAAUAUUCAACAAUUUGAAAACAUAUUAUAUUUUUUAAAAUAUCGAAGUUCUGAUUUGUUUAAAAAUAUUGAAGUUUUGUGAUAUUUAAAAAUAUCGAAGUUUUAAGAUGUUUAAAAAUAAAGUUUUGAGACAAAUAUUUUAAAAUAUCGAAGUUUUGAGAUAGAUAUUUAAAAAUAUCGAAGUUUUGAGAUAGAUAUUUAAAAAUAUUGAAGUUUUGAGAUAUUUAAAAUUAUUGAAGUAAACUUUGUAGUUUACAACAAAGUAGUUGCAACAACCAACUGCUUGGACGUUAAUUGUACAACUGUUUGGUUGACAAUAAUUGAUUUUAGUCUAUCAAAUAUAUUUAUUGUUAUAACAUUUUAUCCUUUAAAUAAAUAAAUCAUGAAUAAAUCUGAGAUCCCAUGUGGCAUGUUGUUGCAUGAGGCCUUGGGCUCUUGCGUAACAGUCACAUUUUACAGAUUUCUUUCAUGGUUUAAAAAAAAGUUUGUGGAGAUAUAAUGGCAUGCCAUUUAGGAAAUUAUUAUUAUUAAAUAUAUAGAAAGUAAGCAUGAAUAUAUGGAAUGAAACUUAUAUUUAAAUAAAAUAUGGUCCUGCAGGGCCAAUUUUUUUCUAUCUUUUUUUGCUUUCAUGGCAAACUGUUUGUCACUCCCUUUCUGUUUUCGGGGCUUGAGGUGCACGUGUGGAAGUGCGCGUGCAUGUGCGUGCAUGUGCAUGAGGCAUGUCACAUGUGAGUCACUAGAAAGAAGCCAAGGCUUUUGUUUCUGCCAGACCUGAGAAAUAAAAGUUCACGUGCAAGAACAACCUGAGUCCACUGAGUCUCACCUUCUGAAUAUUUACCACACUGGUGGCCAAGCCAGGGAGAUCAACGCAUCAUGAAUGCCACAUGGACAUGGAGGCAAAUCCCCUGGCACAGAUCGUAGAGCCUCGAGAAAUCAUCAGCAUCAAGCUCUCAUGGGUCUGCAGUAACAACAUCAGGAAAUCCUCAUGAAAAACCAUGGAGGAGAACGCUGCAGGCCAAACCACCAUCCAGAGCCUGCUGGCACGAGCUCCUCCCUAAACUCCUUCUCGCUGGCCAAAAUGACACCCCAGGAUGAUGUCGAGGUGUACCUGGAGAUGUUCCAAAGUAACGCCUCUGCGUGUGGCUGGCCGAGAUGCACAUUCAAGUCCUUCUGAACAGAGGCCUGGCUGAUUUCCAGUGGCUCACACUUGACUCAUGCAUCAUGGACACACACACAGAGAACACACAGGUUUGGCUCAGUAAGACAGAGAGAGAGGGACAGAACAGCUUGCUAUUAUAAGCCCACAAAUAAUCAACAGGCAUAUCAGAAUAAUCACAUUUGAGUUGAGGUACAUUCACACAUACAAGGAAUUUGCUGUUGAAUGUGCUAUGCAAAUAAACUGAUUUGACUGGACUGGUGAAUGAGUCUCUGGAAACCACUUCCUCCUCCAUGUUACCGAUCCACUGCCCAGAGUGAGGUCCUCAAAAUAAGAUACACUAAAGAUUGGCAUUUUACAAAAAAUUAAACGUCUCACCCUUGCUUCACUGGAUGGAGGACACCUGGGUGCUGUUGAUUUGGAUCUGCGAAAUGCUGCUGUCAUCAUCGCUGCAAUCAUCACUCCAGCACAUUUACUACUGUCUGUCUUUACACUCCUAUAUCUGUGGACUGUAAUGAUUUAUAAUCGCACUCGCCGGUUUCACCCACAAGAGGAUGGGUUCCCUUUUGAGUCUGGUUUCAUCAUCUCAGGGAGUUUUUCCUUGUCACUGUUGCUCACUCGGGAUCGAAACUUACAUCCAGAAUUCUGUAACAAAAAUGUCUGUUGGAAAAAAGAAAAAAAAAGUACGAAUAAAGCCAAACUCUGAACUGAA